AACACUGUUAACCUGCGGUACCUGCGGAAGGAUCAUUACCGAAGUUACUCUUCAUACCCUUAUGUGAACCCUACCCCUCGCCGCGCGGUUGCCUCGGCGGGAGGUCGCGGGCUGGGGCUCCGGCCCCUGCCCCCGCGGCCCCCGCCGGCCGCGCCCAACUCUUCUUCUGCAAAGCGGACUGCAAGUUCUGAUUAUAUCUUGAAAAACAAGUCAAAACUUUCAGCAACGGAUCUCAGAUCG
This 240-nucleotide unclassified non-coding RNA is filed under the name soil metagenome. RNAcentral describes it as "partial contains 5.8S ribosomal RNA, internal transcribed spacer 2, and large subunit ribosomal RNA". The record is from RNAcentral.